Molecule: ribosomal RNA, 370 nt
Filed under: uncultured organism
Description: partial 16S ribosomal RNA
Rfam family: Bacterial small subunit ribosomal RNA
Source: RNAcentral
GGAGGGUGCAAGCGUUAAUCGGAAUUACUGGGCGUAAAGCGCGCGUAGGCGGUUUGGUCAGUCGGAUGUGAAAGCCCUGGGCUUAACCUGGGAAUGGCAUUCGAUACUGCCUGACUAGAGUAUGGUAGAGGGAAGUGGAAUUUCCGGUGUAGCGGUGAAAUGCGUAGAUAUCGGAAGGAACACCAGUGGCGAAGGCGACUUCCUGGGCCAAUACUGACGCUGAGGUGCGAAAGCGUGGGGAGCAAACGGGGAUUAGAUACCCUGGUAGUCCACGCCGUAAACGAUGAGAACUAGAUGUCGGGAGGGUUGCCUUUCGGUGUCGCAGCUAACGCGUUAAGUUCUCCGCCUGGGGAGUACGCCGGCAACGGUA